CGCUCAUCUGAAGGUACUUGGAUUUUUGGUUUUGCUGGUCAUGCGGGUGUUGGUGAUAGCCUCCGUGCGGAGCUGUUGGCAAUCCUUCGGGGCUUGACUCUGUGUUGGGAGCAUGGUUACAGAAGUGUGGGUGAUUCACGGAUUCUAUGUUGGCUUUGGCGCUUUUGAUUUCUGAUCAUCCUCCGGUUCACCAGUAUGCUUGUAUUAUUAGUAGCAUUAAGAGUCUUCUUCGCCGGAGUUGGGUAGUCCACUGCCACCAUUUGCUUCGCGAAGGAAAUGUUGUUGCUGAUUUCUUGGCCAAGCUCGGAGCGUCUAAUAUGAGCUCGACUUGAUUUUGGGAUUCUCCUUUGGCUAGUGUCACGUCUUUGCUGCACGCUGAUGCCCUUGGUGUUGCCUUCUUAAGGCACUAGCCUCCCGUCUGUUUUGUUUUCUUUCUUUUGCUUCUUUUAUCGAAGAAAAAAACUUCAGAUGUAUUUUUAAAGUUUUCUAGUAUCCUACCUACAAGUGUAAUAUUUUUUACAUAAGUAUCUUCCACUUAAGACAAUCAUUUUCAA
This 554-nucleotide long non-coding RNA is filed under the name Lotus japonicus. Its description in RNAcentral is "long non-coding RNA (LJAP_LNC002255)". Lineage: Eukaryota; Viridiplantae; Streptophyta; Magnoliopsida; Fabales; Fabaceae. The record is from RNAcentral.